UACAGGGGAUGCAAGCGUUAUUCGGAAUGAUUGGGCGUAAAGCGUCUGUAGGUGGCUUUUUAAGUCUGCCGUUAAAUCCCAGGGCUUAACCCUGGACAGGCGGUGGAGACUACUAAGCUAGAGUACGGUAGGGGCAGAGGGAAUUUCCGGUGGAGCGGUGAAAUGCGUAGAGAUCGGAAAGAACACCAACGGCGAAGGCACUCUGCUGGGCCGUGACUGACACUGAGAGACGAGAGCUAGGGGAGCGAAUGG
This 252-nucleotide ribosomal RNA is filed under the name uncultured bacterium. RNAcentral's name for it is "partial 16S ribosomal RNA". It matches the Rfam family "Bacterial small subunit ribosomal RNA", at positions 524 to 775 of the family's 1533-position model. The record is from RNAcentral.